Molecule: ribosomal RNA, 301 nt
Filed under: uncultured bacterium
Lineage: Bacteria
Description: partial 16S ribosomal RNA
Rfam family: Bacterial small subunit ribosomal RNA
Source: RNAcentral
CAGUCGCCACGGGAAUACGUAGGUGGCAAGCGUUGUCCGGAAUUAUUGGUCGUAAAGCGCGCGCAGGUGGUUUAAUAAGUCUGAUGUGAAAGCCCACGGCUCAACCGUGGAGGGUCAUUGGAAACUGUUAAACUUGAGUGCAGGAGAGAAAAGUGGAAUUCCUAGUGUAGCGGUGAAAUGCGUAGAGAUUAGGAGGAACACCAGUGGCGAAGGCGGCUUUUUGGCCUGUAACUGACACUGAGGCGCGAAAGCGUGGGGAGCAAACAGGAUUAGAUACCCCGGUAGUCCCUGUCUCUUAUAA